Molecule: ribosomal RNA, 691 nt
Filed under: uncultured bacterium
Lineage: Bacteria
Description: bacterial SSU rRNA
Rfam family: Bacterial small subunit ribosomal RNA
Source: RNAcentral
AACGCUAGCUACAGGCUUAACACAUGCAAGUCGAGGGGCAGCAUAAAAGUAGCAAUACUUUGGUGGCGACCGGCGCACGGGUGAGUAACGCGUAUGCAACCUACCUAUCAGAGGGGAAUAACCCGGCGAAAGUCGGACUAAUACCGCAUAAAACAGGGGCACCGCAUGGUGAUAUUUGUUAAAGAAAUUCGCUGAUAGAUGGGCAUGCGUUCCAUUAGGUAGUUGGUGAGGUAACGGCUCACCAAGCCGACGAUGGAUAGGGGAACUGAGAGGUUGGUCCCCCACACUGGUACUGAGACACGGACCAGACUCCUACGGGAGGCAGCAGUGAGGAAUAUUGGUCAAUGGGCGGGAGCCUGAACCAGCCAAGUCGCGUGAAGGAAGAAGGAUCUAUGGUUCGUAAACUUCUUUUGCAGGGGAAUAAAGUGCAGGACGUGUCCUGUUUUGUAUGUACCCUGAGAAUAAGGAUCGGCUAACUCCGUGCCAGCAGCCGCGGUAAUACGGAGGAUCCGAGCGUUAUCCGGAUUUAUUGGGUUUAAAGGGUGCGUAGGUGGUUUGAUAAGUCAGCGGUGAAAGUUUGCAGCUUAACUGUAAAAAUGCCGUUGAAACUGUCGGACUUGAGUGUAAAUGAGGUAGGCGGAAUGCGUGGUGUAGCGGUGAAAUGCUUAGAUAUCACGAAGAACUCCGAUUG